GAAGAUGUUCUAAUCAUAGCACUAAAUUGGGAAGUCAGCUGAAAUAUUUUCUGUUUUUGCUAUUACAAAUUGAACCCAAGAUCUUUAUAAAGUCUGGUGCUGGCAGAAAGUAGUCCUGGAAGGGAUAGUACUGAAUAUUUUAUUGUAUUUGAGCCCCGGCUACCACUUUUAUCAAGAACCUUAGAACCAUAUAUCCUACCGUUC
Molecule: long non-coding RNA, 204 nt
Filed under: Homo sapiens (human)
Lineage: Eukaryota; Metazoa; Chordata; Mammalia; Primates; Hominidae
Description: HSALNT0247034
Source: RNAcentral